CACAGCACACAAAUGUUCCUCUGGAUGAAAAAUUCUCAAUCUGUGAUCAAACAGGAAGUAAUAAAACACGCUUGGAUCUGUCCAACACACAGCAGGCCUCCUGAAAGCUCUAACCGUCAGAGAUGGCUUCUUCUUCAUAUCUUCCUAGGGGCGAAUUAUACUCCAGAACCUUCUGAGCACGACACGUCCCCGUACGGUCUGGGAGCGUGCACUUAUUCAGCUCGUCAGCGCUUACCGACUAGUGCGCAAAGCGGUCGUCUACUUCCGCACGAACGUUUUACGGCGAGUACGAUCGACAGAAUCCGAGCAAGCGUCGGACGCGUGAAAAUAUUACAGACGUGAUCGUUUCUUCAGGGUUUAAAGGCAGAGAGACGGAUAAAACGUACACGAUUUCCGACGUCACGUCCUGGAUAUCGGUGGAAACUUGUGGGUACUUCAAGUGUUUUCACCGCUGCUCCGUUAAGCAAAUUUCACUUCUGCGGUACAGACUGAAACGGAUCCUGUCAGUAUUCGAAAUUAUAGCUAAAUAAGAGUCGUGUCAGGAAUUACGAUAUUAUAAUUAAUAUCACUAAACGACAUCACAAUUCACAACGACAACCACCCCAGUACCCCACACGGUACCGUGUGGAUUAGGGAAUGCUGAACGGAUUGUGUAAGCUUCAUUAUUUCUGCUUGUGAAAGAAAACGUCGAAACGAUGCGUCUUUAAUAAGAUUUUAAAAUGCUGGUAUUUUGUGAGCAGACGUAAAUAUCGUGAAGCAAAUCGCGUCUCGAGUUGCGCAAACGUCUCAGAGUUCUGUGAUGUUAUUUGUGGCCAAAGAAAACACAUACACAUAUAUAUACACACACAUCCCAUGUCUGUUGCAUGGUGAAAUCAAUCUCACACACACUGAAAACUUAAACACAGUCGUGCAGAUUACACGCAAAUGACGUACAACAUUCCAUCUGUGUGCGUUUUACACUUGGUAAAAAUCAUACGUCGGCCAAAACCGACCGAAACGAUUCCGCAAGAUCGACAAGUUCCGCUGGGUUUUUUACCCCCCCACGUGUGUACGUUGAUAAACGCCAACCUGCUGUGAUUUACCGCGAUAUGGCCGAUUUGCAUUCGGCCACGCCCACGAAACUCCAUAAAAGGGCAAAGCUCGCAGCGUGUUAAGAAUGACUACGCAGUAAAAGAGCGUCUCCUGAACGCUGGACCUUCCGUUAACGCAGCUCCAGUGCUUCCUCCUCGUAUAGGGCGCCAUUACUUUUCACCUAACCCGACAGCGAGUCUCACUCGGCUCCGUUUACGGAUUCGCUUUGGGAUGGCUUUGCUUUCGUCGUCGAUACGGAAUAACUGUACGUUUACACGAGACGUUGGUUAGUUUGGUGUUUUAUUCGUUGGGAUAAAGUCGAGCGCGUAAUCCGUGCAUUAAACCGCGGCAACGAGGAUCGUC
Ictalurus punctatus (channel catfish) is the source of this 1434-nucleotide long non-coding RNA. The record is from Ensembl. Lineage: Eukaryota; Metazoa; Chordata; Actinopteri; Siluriformes; Ictaluridae.